UACAGAGGGUGCAAGCGUUAAUCGGAAUUACUGGGCGUAAAGCGUGUGUAGGUGGUUUGCUAAGUCAGGUGUGAAAUCCCUGGGCUCAACCUAGGAAUUGCAUUUGAUACUGGUAAUCUAGAGUGCGGUAGAGGAUGGUGGAAUUCCCGGUGUAGCGGUGAAAUGCGUAGAUAUCGGGAGGAACAUCAGUGGCGAAGGCGGCCAUCUGGACUGACACUGACACUGAGACACGAAAGCGUGGGGAGCAAACAGGAUUAGAAACCCCCGUAGUCC
Molecule: ribosomal RNA, 273 nt
Filed under: uncultured bacterium
Lineage: Bacteria
Description: partial 16S ribosomal RNA
Rfam family: Bacterial small subunit ribosomal RNA
Source: RNAcentral